AAACAAUAAUACUUUUCUUUUUGCUAACAUACCUUGAGACCAAUGCUGCUGCUUAUGUCUUUUUCCAGAAGACUUGAGUUAGCUAGGUAUGGCUAAAGAAUAGAAAAUGGUGUCUUCCAAAGAUGUCUGGUGGCACAAAUCCAGGAGAUCUUGGUCUGAGAUGAAGUACACAGUUGUUUCACCACAGUGUCACUGAACUGAUGUGGUUACGCAAUGACAAGACAGAGUAGAGCUUCUCUUUUUAUGAGGGGUUGAGGUCACCUUCCUCACCCUGCUCCUGUGAGCAAUACACAGAAUUAGAAACCAGAAAAACUGUCCUUGAAUUAUUAAGGAAGGGAUUGGAGAGUCAAAGACGGGUGGAGGAAAUAUGGAUUAUGUGAACAACAUCCCUGUAGUGAUCCAAAGCUGACUGAUAUUGAGAGGUUUUCUACUGAUUCCAACUGCAUUUACCAAAUCUUUCAUAUCACUGGCAAACACAGAUGCCUUCAAACACUGGAAGGAGCUCUGUGUGCUAGAAGACGAUUUCAUGUCAAGGUAGGGGUGAAUUCACAGGCUGUGCUGGCAUCAGGUCCAGUCAGAAGGUUUGGCUUUGU
Long non-coding RNA from Junco hyemalis (dark-eyed junco), 593 nucleotides. The record is from Ensembl. NCBI's taxonomy places the organism in Eukaryota, Metazoa, Chordata, Aves, Passeriformes, Passerellidae.